This 301-nucleotide ribosomal RNA is filed under the name uncultured bacterium. RNAcentral describes it as "partial 16S ribosomal RNA". It matches the Rfam family "Bacterial small subunit ribosomal RNA", at positions 509 to 807 of the family's 1533-position model. The record is from RNAcentral.
CAGUCGCCGCGGUAAUACAGAGGGUGCGAGCGUUAAUCGGAUUUACUGGGCGUAAAGCGUGCGUAGGCGGCUUUUUAAGUCGGAUGUGAAAUCCCUGAGCUUAACUUAGGAAUUGCAUUCGAUACUGGGAAGCUAGAGUAUGGGAGAGGAUGGUAUAAUUCCAGGUGUAGCGGUGAAAUGCGUAGAGAUCUGGAGGAAUACCGAUGGCGAAGGCAGCCAUCUGGCCUAAUACUGACGCUGAGGUACGAAAGCAUGGGGAGCAAACAGGAUUAGAGACCCCGGUAGUCCCUGUCUCUUAUAC